UACAGAGGGUGCAAGCGUUGAUCGGAAUUACUGGGCGUAAAGCGUGCGCAGACGGUUGCGUAAGUCAGAUGUGAAAGCCCCGGGCUCAACCUGGGAAUUGCAUUUGAGACUGCGUAGCUAGGGUGCGGAAGAGGGAAGCGGAAUUUCCGGUGUAGCGGUGAAAUGCGUAGAUAUCGGAAGGAACACCAGUGGCGAAGGCGGUUCUCUGGGACGGUACUGACGCUGAGACGCGAAAGCGUGGGGAGCGAACAGG
This 253-nucleotide ribosomal RNA is filed under the name uncultured bacterium. Its description in RNAcentral is "partial 16S ribosomal RNA". It matches the Rfam family "Bacterial small subunit ribosomal RNA", at positions 524 to 776 of the family's 1533-position model. The record is from RNAcentral.